RNAcentral lists this long non-coding RNA (271 nucleotides) under Rattus norvegicus (Norway rat). RNAcentral describes it as "long non-coding RNA NONRATT033579". Lineage: Eukaryota; Metazoa; Chordata; Mammalia; Rodentia; Muridae. The record is from RNAcentral.
CCUGCAGUUAACGUCACAUUUGAGAACAUCCGAAACAAAGGCCGUUUUGAAGCUGCCUCUCCUGGCAUCUUUAGGUUUUCUCUUAUAAAGCAGUAUGACUCUAGUUUGCCUUGCCCAUCAACUAAGUGCUAAUUGCACCCCUUGGAGGUGCAUUUAUUGAAGCAAAAAUCAGCACCCUGCAGUCUCGGCGCAUCCUGCAAGCAGAAGGAAGCACUUUCUACGGCUCAGUAGGUAAAUGUCUGGCCUUCUAUUCAGUCCAUUUAUAGAAAGU